GCACAGGUGCUGCAUGGCUGUCGUCAGCUCGUGCCGUGAGGUGUUAGGUUAAGUCCUGCAACGAGCGCAACCCUCGUCGCUAGUUGUUUUCUCUAGCGAUACUGCCCGUAUAACGUGGAGGAAGGUGGGGAUGACGUCAAGUCAGCAUGGCCCUUACAUCCUGGGCUACACACACGCUACAAUGGGUGAUACAACAGGUUGCAAUAGAGUAAUCUGGAGCCAAUCCCUAAAAUCAUCCUCAGUACAGAUUGCAGGCUGCAACUGCCUGCAUGAAGUUGGAGUUGCUAGUAAACGCAGGUCAGCACACUGCGUUGAAUACGUUCUCGGGCCUU
This 332-nucleotide ribosomal RNA is filed under the name uncultured Chloroflexota bacterium. RNAcentral's name for it is "bacterial SSU rRNA". It matches the Rfam family "Bacterial small subunit ribosomal RNA", at positions 1032 to 1382 of the family's 1533-position model. Lineage: Bacteria; Bacillati; Chloroflexota. The record is from RNAcentral.